AGGACGAACGCUGGCGGCGUGCUUAACACAUGCAAGUCAAGGGGGCCCAGCAAUGGGCAACCGGCGAACGGGUGCGUAACACGUGAGCAACCUACCGAAAUGUGGGGGAUAGCCGGCCUAACGGCCGAGUAAUACCGCAUACGCUCUCGAUGAGGCAUUUCAUUGAGAGGAAACCUACGGGACAUUUCGAGGGGCUCGCGGCCUAUCAACUAGUUGGAGAGGUAACGGCUCACCAAGGCAACGACGGGUA
RNAcentral lists this ribosomal RNA (250 nucleotides) under uncultured soil bacterium. Its description in RNAcentral is "partial 16S ribosomal RNA". It matches the Rfam family "Bacterial small subunit ribosomal RNA", at positions 26 to 285 of the family's 1533-position model. The record is from RNAcentral.